RNAcentral lists this ribosomal RNA (1374 nucleotides) under Staphylococcus saprophyticus. Its description in RNAcentral is "bacterial SSU rRNA". It matches the Rfam family "Bacterial small subunit ribosomal RNA", at positions 78 to 1436 of the family's 1533-position model. The record is from RNAcentral. Lineage: Bacteria; Bacillati; Bacillota; Bacilli; Caryophanales; Staphylococcaceae.
GCUUGCUCCUUUGACGUUAGCGGCGGACGGGUGAGUAACACGUGGGUAACCUACCUAUAAGACUGGGAUAACUUCGGGAAACCGGAGCUAAUACCGGAUAACAUUUGGAACCGCAUGGUUCUAAAGUGAAAGAUGGUUUUGCUAUCACUUAUAGAUGGACCCGCGCCGUAUUAGCUAGUUGGUAAGGUAACGGCUUACCAAGGCAACGAUACGUAGCCGACCUGAGAGGGUGAUCGGCCACACUGGAACUGAGACACGGUCCAGACUCCUACGGGAGGCAGCAGUAGGGAAUCUUCCGCAAUGGGCGAAAGCCUGACGGAGCAACGCCGCGUGAGUGAUGAAGGGUUUCGGCUCGUAAAACUCUGUUAUUAGGGAAGAACAAAUGUGUAAGUAACUGUGCACGUCUUGACGGUACCUAAUCAGAAAGCCACGGCUAACUACGUGCCAGCAGCCGCGGUAAUACGUAGGUGGCAAGCGUUAUCCGGAAUUAUUGGGCGUAAAGCGCGCGUAGGCGGUUUCUUAAGUCUGAUGUGAAAGCCCACGGCUCAACCGUGGAGGGUCAUUGGAAACUGGGAAACUUGAGUGCAGAAGAGGAAAGUGGAAUUCCAUGUGUAGCGGUGAAAUGCGCAGAGAUAUGGAGGAACACCAGUGGCGAAGGCGACUUUCUGGUCUGUAACUGACGCUGAUGUGCGAAAGCGUGGGGAUCAAACAGGAUUAGAUACCCUGGUAGUCCACGCCGUAAACGAUGAGUGCUAAGUGUUAGGGGGUUUCCGCCCCUUAGUGCUGCAGCUAACGCAUUAAGCACUCCGCCUGGGGAGUACGACCGCAAGGUUGAAACUCAAAGGAAUUGACGGGGACCCGCACAAGCGGUGGAGCAUGUGGUUUAAUUCGAAGCAACGCGAAGAACCUUACCAAAUCUUGACAUCCUUUGAAAACUCUAGAGAUAGAGCCUUCCCCUUCGGGGGACAAAGUGACAGGUGGUGCAUGGUUGUCGUCAGCUCGUGUCGUGAGAUGUUGGGUUAAGUCCCGCAACGAGCGCAACCCUUAAGCUUAGUUGCCAUCAUUAAGUUGGGCACUCUAGGUUGACUGCCGGUGACAAACCGGAGGAAGGUGGGGAUGACGUCAAAUCAUCAUGCCCCUUAUGAUUUGGGCUACACACGUGCUACAAUGGACAAUACAAAGGGCAGCUAAACCGCGAGGUCAUGCAAAUCCCAUAAAGUUGUUCUCAGUUCGGAUUGUAGUCUGCAACUCGACUACAUGAAGCUGGAAUCGCUAGUAAUCGUAGAUCAGCAUGCUACGGUGAAUACGUUCCCGGGUCUUGUACACACCGCCCGUCACACCACGAGAGUUUGUAACACCCGAAGCCGGUGGAGU